UACGGAGGGUGCAAGCGUUAAUCGGAAUUACUGGGCGUAAAGCGCGCGUAGGCGGUUUAGUCAGUCAGAUGUGAAAGCCCCGGGCUCAACCUGGGAACUGCAUUUGAUACUGCUAAGCUAGAGUAUGGUAGAGGCAAGUGGAAUUCCAGGUGUAGCGGUGAAAUGCGUAGAUAUCUGGAGGAACAUCAGUGGCGAAGGCGACUUGCUGGACCAAUACUGACGCUGAGGUGCGAAAGCGUGGGUAGCAAACAGG
Molecule: ribosomal RNA, 253 nt
Filed under: uncultured bacterium
Lineage: Bacteria
Description: partial 16S ribosomal RNA
Rfam family: Bacterial small subunit ribosomal RNA
Source: RNAcentral